RNAcentral lists this long non-coding RNA (970 nucleotides) under Homo sapiens (human). RNAcentral's name for it is "novel transcript". Lineage: Eukaryota; Metazoa; Chordata; Mammalia; Primates; Hominidae. The record is from RNAcentral.
AGAUAGAGUCUUCCUCUGUCGCCUAGGCUGGAGUGCAGUGGCGCGAUCUCGGCGCACCGCAACCUCUGCCUCCCGGGUUCAAGCGAAUUCUCCUGCCUCAGCCUCCGGAGUAGCUGGGAUUACAGAUGUGCUCCACCAUGCCCGGCUAAUUUUUGUAUUUUUAGUAGAGAUGGGGGGGUUUCACCAUGUUGGCCAGGCUGGUCUCGAACUCCUGACCUUGUGAUCCACUAGCUUCGGCCUCCCGAAGUUCUGGGAUUACAGGCAUGAGCCACCACACCCGGAUGAAUUAUGCCAUUUUUAAGGCAAAGCAGCGGUGAUGGUGGGUGAUGGAGUGACAUCAGGAGCGCCAGAAGGAGGAAGUCAGAAAGCCCUUGGGGACAGGAAUGUCCUUGUGUUGCAAACAUUUCUGGUCAGGGAAAGAUGAAGAAAACAGAAUGAGUUUCUGAUAACAGUGUUCCCAACACUUAAUGGUUAAAAGAAGCUUUGAGGAACACCAUAUUUCAGCCCUAUGGAACAGUGAACAAAAAGGAAAAAGCCAGUAAGACUGAUGGUUCUGUAUAAGAUGUCCACUUCUGCAUGAUCUGCUCCAGACAACAAAUGAAAUGCUCUUAUUAUUCCUGUCCCACUCUUGUCUCCCUACAGGCUAACCUCAUCUUUCACAAUCACUAUUUUCACAAUCGAGCUUUGAGAAGCUGAAAAGUCAGCAGGCUAUCUUGGCAAACCCACUAUAGUGUUCUAAAUUCUUUGUCAAAAUUAACCUUUUACAAUCUCUUGGCACUUGGAAGUAGGGGAAGAGUCCAACUGAAAGUGCAGUUUGAUCUCAUGGAGAAAAGUGAUGACACUUACCAAUUCCCCAGACCUGAGACUAAGAAAAUAACCUUGGCCAACAUGCAAAAAAAAUAUAUAUUAAUGAGAGGAGAUACACUAAAUAUAUUUUACUCAUCUCAGCAUAGCUUUCUCACAGGCAGUA